Molecule: long non-coding RNA, 361 nt
Organism: Thalassophryne amazonica
Lineage: Eukaryota; Metazoa; Chordata; Actinopteri; Batrachoidiformes; Batrachoididae
Exons: 3
Source: RefSeq, a predicted model, not a curated record
UAAAGUUGUUUGUUUGUUGGUUAGGGGGCCAUUCUGUGUGGUCAGACGGUGUGUUACGACAGGAUGAUAAAGUUGUUUGUUUGUUGGUUAGGGGGCCAUUCUCUGUGGUCAGACGGUGUGUUACGACAGGAUGAUAAAGUUGUUUGUUUGUUUGUUUGUUUGUUGUUUAGGGGGCCAUUCUGUGUGGUCAGACGGUGUGUUACGGCAGGAUGAUAAAGUUGUUUGUUUGUUGUUUAGGGGGCCAUUCUGUUUGGUCAGACGGUGUGUUACGGCAGGAUGAUAAAGUUUGUUUGUUGUUUAGGGGGCCAUUCUGUUUGGUCAGACGGUGUGUUACGACAGGAUGAUAAAGUUGUUUGUUUGU